UACGAAGGGUGCAAGCGUUGCUCGGAAUUAUUGGGCGUAAAGCGCACGUAGGCGGCUUGGCAAGUCGGAUGUGAAAUCCCUCGGCUCAACCAAGGAAGUGCAUCCGAAACUGCUAAGCUUGAGUACUUAAGAGGAUCGCGGAAUUCCCGGUGUAGAGGUGAAAUUCGUAGAUAUCGGGAGGAACACCAGUGGCGAAGGCGGCGAUCUGGGAAGAUACUGACGCGGAGGUGCGAAAGCGUGGGAGCAAACAGG
This 252-nucleotide ribosomal RNA is filed under the name uncultured bacterium. RNAcentral's name for it is "partial 16S ribosomal RNA". It matches the Rfam family "Bacterial small subunit ribosomal RNA", at positions 524 to 776 of the family's 1533-position model. The record is from RNAcentral.